This 440-nucleotide ribosomal RNA is filed under the name uncultured bacterium. RNAcentral describes it as "partial 16S ribosomal RNA". It matches the Rfam family "Bacterial small subunit ribosomal RNA", at positions 338 to 795 of the family's 1533-position model. The record is from RNAcentral.
CCUACGGGCGGCAGCAGUGGGGAAUAUUGCACAAUGGGGGAAACCCUGAUGCAGCAACGCCGCGUGAGUGAAGAAGUAUUUCGGUAUGUAAAGCUCUAUCAGCAGGGAAGAAAAUGACGGUACCUGAGUAAGAAGCGCCGGCUAACUACGUGCCAGCAGCCGCGGUCAUACGUAGGGGGCAAGCGUUAUACGGAUUGACUGGGUGUAAAGGGAGCGUAGACGGGGAUACAAGUCUGAAGUGAAAGCCUGGGGCUCAACCACGGGACUGCCUUGGAAACUGUGUUGCUGGAGUGCUGGAGAGGCAGGCGGAAUUCGUGGUGUAGCGGUGAAAUGCGUAGAUAUUAGGAAGAACACCAGUGGCGAAGGCGGCUUGCUGGACAGUAACUGACGUUGAGGCUCGAAAGCGUGGGGAGCAAACAGGAUUAGAUACCCGGGUAGUC